UUUUAAAAAUAUCACAACUAAUUUAAAACGGAGGAAGUAAUAUAAUUUGCUACAGCAAAAUGCUAUCUACUAAUUGGAAAAGAAAAAAAAAAGUUGGAGGUCCCAAUCAAGUGAAUGUAGUGCAAUAUAGAUUGUGUUCGUCUCGAUAUAGCUCUAUAAGAGUAUGAGUUAUGUGUAGGGGUGUCAAAAAACACCCGACUCGUAGGUCCAUUCGUAUCCGGUCCGACAUAACCAUGUUUAUCAACCAAUCAAUUUCGAUCCAAAAUCAACUCAACAUUGGUUAAGUUUAUUAACUUGUUCAUUUAUAUAUUACUCUUGUCACGCACACAAAUAAGCGUGUGCCGACCCGAAUUUCGAUCAAUAUCGAUAAUGACUAGAAAUGAACUGACUCAAACCUAUAGUGGUACAUUCUAACUCCACCAAAACCCGACUUGAGCUGACCCAAGUCCACACGAAUCUAUCUUGAUCCGCACAAACCCAUUUAGAAUUCGACUCAUGUCUACCCAAAAUGAUUAGAGCCGAGUUGAAAAUGUCUGACCCAUACCCAGUACGCACCUGAGUUUACGUUGGCCAAUCUAGUCCGGCCUAAGUAGUUUCGACCCAAUCCACACUCGAUCAGAAAUAAGGUUUGAUCCGGCACGAUCUAAUCCAAAUACAUUCGAUCCAAUUCAGGCCAACCCAUAUCCAAUCGAUAACUCAGAUUGACACCCCUAGUUGUGUGUUGAUCAAAUCAAGUUAAAGGGGUUCAAAUUUUGAUUUUUGAUUGAGUUGAGUUUGAGUUGCUAAAUGCGAAAUAGCUGAAUUAAGAUCUCUCAUUGAAGCUAUCCUUUAGAAAGAGAAACUACAUAGAGUUGUUAGAAAAAAAGAUAACUUAGAAUGAAAUACUUCCUCCGUUUCUAAAUAAGUGCAACAUUCCUUGUUUUCACGUUUGCCAAUGCAUUAUUUUAACCAUCACUAUCUUCUAUUAUCAAUAAGUAAAAAUUAUAAAAAGUUGAUAUUAAAAAAAAUCACAGUCAGACGAAUCUAACAAGAUCCCACAUGACUAUGUUUUUUCUAAAAUGUAAAUCACCAAAGCUAAUUAAAGUUUAAACUGUGAAUAGUAAACACUAUGCAAAUGUUGCACUUAUUUAGAAACGGAGGAAGUACUAUAUAAGAUGUGAGGUUUUCCUAAUUUAACUUUAACUUUAAAAUAGGUAUGUUAGUUUAGACUUUAGCAUCUCAUGAUUGUCACCAAAUAUUCAUUGGUUAGACGAAAUAAUUGGAUACAAAAAGACAAUAAUCAAUAGUAGAAGAUAUAUUUCAAAUAGAUAAAAGAUUUGUGUGGGCUUAUACUUGGAAAAGAGGAUUCGGGUAAAUCUUCUACAGAUUUUUCAACAUUUUUGCCGUUUUUACCUUGUCCCACUAGGAUAAGCUUGAAAUGACAUUAUCUACUACUAAUAUUGUUACAAUAGGUCCACAAGACGCAAAUGCUUAAAUCUGAAAGAUAGUGUUCAUCUCCCCUGGAAAAAGUAAUAUUCACCUAUAAAUACAACAAAUAUCUCCUCUAAUAACAUUAAGUUAUUAAGUGGGAGCAUCUUGCAAGAUAUAAUAUGAAAUUAAGAAACUCAAAAAAGUCUCCUAAAAAAACUCAAAAAAAGUGAAUUUAGGGAUGUUUUCCCCAAUUUAUUUUCAGUUCAGUUCAAUUCAUUUCAGUUCAGUUCAAUUCAAUUCAUGGCUAGUUCUCCUCGGCUUAUUUUCAGUUCAGUUCAAUUCAGUUCAAUUAAGUUCAGUUCAGUUCAGUUCAGCUCUGGAUUAUACUUUUACUCUCACAUAUCACUAUUCAUUUCAUUUCAGUUCAAUUCAGUUCAGUUCAGUUCAGCUGUUUUAUGCCGAAGAGAACAAGCCCUCAGCUCAGUUCAGUUCAGCUCAAUUCUGGACAAUACUUUUACUCUCACAUAUCACUAUUCAGUUCAUUUUAUUUCAGUUCAACUGUUUAAUAUCGAAGAGAACAAACCCUUAUUCUAAUAAGACAAAUAGACAAACAAUGGGAGAGCCGAAAACAGAAAACUUAGCAAACGGGCUCAAAAUAAUUUCAUUAAAGUCAACAGCCCAAUCUCCUCCUUUAGAGAAUUAACGACAACUUCUCCUAAAAAGGCCCAAUCAAAACAAAAUCAAUCUCUUCCACAAGCCCAAAUAAGAGAAACUUCACUAGGGUUUCACUAUAAAUUAACCCCAAAACCCUCUCUUUCUUCCGUUUCCUAUCAAAUCCUUUUUUCUCUCUCCUAAAACAUCAUCUGUUAAUUAGGGUUUCGAAGUUGCCGUCGUUUUUCAUCAUCUCACCAUGAGAGCCAAGUGGAAGAAGAAGCGUAUGAGGAGGUUGAAGAGGAAGCGUCGAAAGAUGAGACAAAGAUCUAAGUAGAAAGAAGAUCUUCAACUGUUAUGGUUUUACGUUUAGUUUUCUUCGUUGUUUUGUUUAAUCUUAGUUCGUUAAAUCGUUAGCUAUUUUCAUGGCUUUGGAAUUGUGUUAGGCUUUGAUAUUUGUGUGUAAUCGAUACAAUUUGAUAAAACAUGAAUUUUGGAGUAAUGUUACUCGAGAAGGUUUUUUUACCUGA
Molecule: long non-coding RNA, 2591 nt
Organism: Beta vulgaris subsp. vulgaris (sugar beet)
Lineage: Eukaryota; Viridiplantae; Streptophyta; Magnoliopsida; Caryophyllales; Amaranthaceae
Exons: 2
Source: RefSeq, a predicted model, not a curated record